This 400-nucleotide ribosomal RNA is filed under the name uncultured Propionibacterium sp. RNAcentral describes it as "bacterial SSU rRNA". It matches the Rfam family "Bacterial small subunit ribosomal RNA", at positions 958 to 1356 of the family's 1533-position model. Lineage: Bacteria; Bacillati; Actinomycetota; Actinomycetes; Propionibacteriales; Propionibacteriaceae. The record is from RNAcentral.
AACGCGAAGAACCUUACCCGGGUUUGACAUGGAUCGGGAGUGCUCAGAGAUGGGUGUGCCUCUUUUGGGGUCGGUUCACAGGUGGUGCAUGGCUGUCGUCAGCUCGUGUCGUGAGAUGUUGGGUUAAGUCCCGCAACGAGCGCAACCCUUGUUCACUGUUGCCAGCACGUUAUGGUGGGGACUCAGUGGAGACCGCCGGGGUCAACUCGGAGGAAGGUGGGGAUGACGUCAAGACAUCAUGCCCCUUAUGUCCAGGGCUUCACGCAUGCUACAAUGGCUGGUACAGAGAGUGGCGAGCCUGUGAGGGUGAGCGAAUCUCGGAAAGCCGGUCUCAGUUCGGAUUGGGGUCUGCAACUCGACCUCAUGAAGUCGGAGUCGCUAGUAAUCGCAGAUCAGCACG